CUUCAAAAUGACUUCAGUGCCGUGGGGACAUCCGUCUUCUUCCAGCAAUGAUGAUGAACAGAGAGUUCUUAAGGCGUUUUCCAGGCCUAUAUUUUGCCUUCCAGUAUAAAGAAGGACAGUGCUGCAAUUUUGGUCCUUGUCAGAACCACGUGUUACCUGAAUCUUGUACCCAGGAUUACACAGAUCAUAGAUUUCACUCAUGGGUGGAAUUUCUGCCCCUCAUGUCUCCUGUCCAUCGAGAUUUGGCGGUGCUCCAAACACAGGAUGGUAUCGGUGUGUUUCCCACCUGAACAACCUGAAAUCAAGUCUUACAUAUCCAUCAUCCAGUUUCUCUGUCUUGUGCAGUAACGUGUAAUUCCAUUUAUUAAACCAUUUUUUAACUGACAUAGUUAAAAAAAAAAAAAAAGGCGGAGCAGCAUUUUCCUCUCCAGCACUCGGAGCUCCAGGGCCGGCGUCCCCCGGAUUCACGCAGCGGCAGCACCAGCGACCUGGAGUGGCUCCGUGUUUAUCCACGCUUUAUCGGCUGGUUUGUCAGGCACACUGCACGUGAAACCAGCAGAGCCUGCCUGCUCCUUUUUCCUCCACUGAAAGUCGUUCCUGUGUCUCCAAGCUGCCUGCAAGAACUUUGGCAUGGUUUUCCUAACCUUGCAAACAGUAAAAGCAAAACUCUCCUUUGAUUAAAAAAAAAAAAAAUGCCGGAGGACUCUGGCCCGGAGCCACGAAGGAUGCAGGCGAUCUGAGGGAAUAUUCCACAAAACACUGCAAGCUCCCUCUCCGGGCCCCAGUGCGGGCGACGCACUUUGCUUGUACUUAACAUACAUCAACUGUCACCCAGCGGCAGUCGGCGUUCAGCCGAACACAAUGGAAUAUCCAGAUGGUCUAAACAAAGCCAGCAAAUGUUCACUGCUAUUAAAAGCUGUUUACAUCAGCUUCCAGGGUUUCGAGGUACUUAGGUCCAUGGCCAGGACUGCCUCUUACAGAGUCCUGUGGCUGACGUUCCCACACCCGGUGGAGACGAAAUGAGACAGUAACUUAGGAGGCAGGAUAGUGUCAACUAGAGCUGUCACCGCAGGCACUCUCAGUGACUCGCCCCCAGUUCUGUUUUAUUGAUGGUCCAUCGCAGCCGCGGCCCCAGACCCAAUGAACAGGCAGCGGCCCUCCCCGCCGGUGGUGGUGGUAGGGCUGGGUGGACGGGUGGGUCCCUACCUGCCCUGCAGUCAGGACCUCUGGGCCUCCUUGCUCCCUGCUGGGGAUGUUUAGGCCGUGAAUGCUUCUGUUUUCUUCCUCCCAGGUACUCUGCUAUCAGGCCCUGUCCUAUUGGGGAUUAAUACACGUGAGUGGCUGACCUGCAUUCUUCUGUCUUCCUUCCUUGUCUUUACGGCGUCUCCCUUAAAAUUCCAGGUGCAUCGCUGAUGGUGUUGGAGGCGUAGCCUCCAUUGUGUAUUGCCAUUGUGUACUGUAGUGUAUUGCUAUUCACAACACUAUCCACGGGAAGGAUGUCCAGCUCGUUUCUUGUUAAAGAAGAACCUGAGAAACUGUCCCUGUUUUUAACAGGGUAUGUUCACCAUUGCCAAUUUCUCUCAUUGUAACAUACCUGAAAAAUGAGUAAAUAGGAAAAUCAUAGUAUAUAUCAAUUUGCCCUAAAAUUCAAACUAGUAUAAGAACAGAAAAGAGCCUCGAUAGAAUAAUUCAAAUAAUUAUUUUCUACAUAAACAGAUAAUCUUAACUUUAUGUCACAUUUGGGUUAAGUUUCGUGCAUUAUUUGUUGUGUCAUUUCUGAGUUACCAUGCUUCAAGUUUUCUGAUGUGUUUUUCAAGGUGGGCGAGUUCAUAAAUGACUAAAGUAAAAUGUUUAAGAAAAUAUGAUUUGUUGGCCUAUUUUCUCCAGAAAUAACCUUUAAGAUCAAGAUGGGUAGGUAACGAGG
Molecule: long non-coding RNA, 1924 nt
Organism: Dama dama (fallow deer)
Lineage: Eukaryota; Metazoa; Chordata; Mammalia; Artiodactyla; Cervidae
Exons: 3
Source: RefSeq, a predicted model, not a curated record